Molecule: non-coding RNA, 1600 nt
Organism: Labrus bergylta (ballan wrasse)
Lineage: Eukaryota; Metazoa; Chordata; Actinopteri; Labriformes; Labridae
Source: RefSeq, a predicted model, not a curated record
GGCUGAUCGAACUACGAUUCAUUCCAGGAAGAGGAGCGGUUUGAGAGAGAUACUUGUUUACAACAGAGAACAUUUCUCAACCAGCAGUAUCGUCACAAUUAACCACGGUGUGGGUUGAAUAUUUGACCCAUUCAGCUGGGUUAAACAGGUAACCCUGUGUGUUUACAUGCUCCUAAUUUAAUCCAGCAGUGUUUAACAAAAUAUCAGAGUUUAUCCAUUCAGCUUCAGCAGUAAAACAAAGACCAAGAGGAACAAGGAUUUCAGAUUAUGUAAAUAACUAAAAAAAGAUAGUAGCAAUAAAAAAAGCUAAGAUCAAAUAAAAACACAGAACAGCAAUAAAAUACAGGAGGGGGGGAUGUGAAGGUUGUUUAUAAUAUGUUUUGAUUUGUAGUUUUUACCUGCAGUUAAAGAUCGUUUUGUAUUAAAUGGCACCUUAAAUCAGAUUUCCCUGAGCUGCAUUUACAAGAGCUCACCAGCAGGUGUCAGUGUGGCCACAAUGUGAAACAAAACUGCUCUCAUUGUUCUCUGAGGGAUAAGUUCUGAUUUCUGAUUUUACAUGAAAAAAAAAAAAGGAAAUACAAGUUGCACCUGAAAAAGGCUGCAGGAAAAAAUAUGCAUUUGUCCUAAAGGAAGUGAUUGAUCUUAAGUUUAAAUCAUGAGCAAGUUCUCAUCUUCACUUCAUUUAUAUAAAGUAGCCUCCAUAAGAAGACACACGUUCAAAGAAAAAUAACUUGAAUGACCAGACUCUUCUGUUUCUUGUCUCUCCAGAGAAGGUUUUUAGAAAUGUAAUAAGUACCUUCAUGUCGACUCAGUAUUCUCCCAGGUGAGUGCACACCUUCCUCCGGUUCUCUGCAGGAAGUCCAGACUCAGACUACAUUUGUUCACCAGAGUCUGAAACUCUACAGGUGACAUCAGCACCAUGAAGUUAGAUCGAAAGUCGAUGUUGUUGCUCUCAGCCAGCGCAGCUCCAAGUCCUGAUGUGCUCCUUCCCAUGGGAAACAUCUGCAGACCCUAAAAAAGCUUCACAAGUCAACACCCAGCACACAUGACGGAGCUGCUGUGGAGCUCAGAAGAUGAAAGAAAUGCUCAGAGACUGAAGUACACAUUCUUAUUGGAGGAAUCCUAAGGUCUAAAGGAUGAGCAUAGUGCAGGGCAUUUUCCUUAUUUAGAAAAUGUCAACUUCUAUGAUUUCAAUAGGCCUUUAUUGGUCAUAAUGGGAAGAUGAUUCCCAUAAUAUGUUACAUAAAAUACAUUAUUUAGUGAGCUGUUAAAGGAGCAUGCAGCUUUGUGAUGACUUGUUAUGAAUUGUUGAACCACUGGGGUUGGAUCUCUGGUGUCUUAUAAACCCAUGAGUUGUCUUCAAAGAUUUUAAAAGCAGCCUAAAGGACCAUUUGACGACUGUAUCACAUGUUUCUCUGUUUAAAGCUCCUGAUUGGUUCAAUGAUGUAAUAUUUGUUUAUCGUCUGUCUUUUGUUCUCUGUCUGAAACUCUUGUAUGCUGCUGUCUUGGCCAGGACUCUCUGGUGUUGUAUCUCAAAGAGAAUCUCCUCCUGGUAAAAUAAAUGUCAAAUGAAAUGAAAUAAAUAAAAAUGAGGAUUGGG